This 510-nucleotide ribosomal RNA is filed under the name Hypopygus lepturus. RNAcentral's name for it is "partial 16S ribosomal RNA". It matches the Rfam family "Bacterial large subunit ribosomal RNA", at positions 1923 to 2599 of the family's 2925-position model. The record is from RNAcentral. Lineage: Eukaryota; Metazoa; Chordata; Actinopteri; Gymnotiformes; Rhamphichthyidae.
UUCAACGGCCGCGGUAUUUUGACCGUGCAAAGGUAGCGCAAUCACUUGUCCUUUAAAUGAGGACCUGUAUGAAAGGCAAGACGAGGGCUUUGCUGUCUCUCCUCUCAAGUCAAUGAAAUUGAUCUGCCCGUGCAGAAGCGGGCAUCUAAAUACAAGACGAGAAGACCCUUUGGAGCUUAAGACACAAGCCAACUAUGUCAAUGGACCCUCCAAACUAAAUAGCUCUGGCCCAGAGUCUUCGGUUGGGGCGACCGCGGGGGAAAAUAAAGCCCCCAUGUGGAAUGAGGAUACCCCCCUUACAACCACGAGAAACCCCUCUAAGUCACAGAACUUCUGACCAAAAGAUCCGGCUACCGCCGACUAACGAACCAAGUUACCCAAGGGAUAACAGCGCAAUCCCCUCCAAGAGUUCCCAUCGACAAGGGGGUUUACGACCUCGAUGUUGGAUCAGGGCCUCCUAAUGGUGCAGCCGCUAUUAAGGGUUCGUUUGUUCAACGAUUAAAGCCCUAC